GCCGGCCGCCUUGGCAUGGUUGAUCGACUCGAUCGUCUGCGGCAUCACGCUGUCAUCGGCCGCGACGACGAGGACGGCGAUGUCCGUCGCCUGGGCGCCGCGGGCGCGCAUGGCCGU
This 117-nucleotide small RNA is filed under the name Sinorhizobium meliloti 2011. Its description in RNAcentral is "putative ncRNA". The record is from RNAcentral. Lineage: Bacteria; Pseudomonadati; Pseudomonadota; Alphaproteobacteria; Hyphomicrobiales; Rhizobiaceae.